GGGAGUCUGGAGCCGGAAGACAGAGAACACCAAGAAGGUCAUCCAGUACCUGGCGCACGUGGCAUCGUCCGCCCAAGGGCAGGAAGGAGCCGGGAGUCCCUGGGGAGCUGGAGCGGCAGCUUCUCCAGGCCAACCCGGUCCUGGAGGGCCUUCGGCAACGCCAAGACGGUGAAGAACGACAACUCCUCGCGCUUCGGCAAAUUCAUCCGCAUCAACUUUGACGUCGCGGGGUACAUCGUGGGCGCCAACAUCGAGACCUACCUGCUGGAGAAGUCGCGCGCCAUCCGCCAGGCCAAGGACGAGUGCAGCUUCCACAUCUUCUACCAGCUGCUGGGGGCGCGGGGGGGAGCAGCUCAAAGCCGACCUCCUCCUGGAGCCCUUCUCGCACUACCGCUUCCUGACCAGCGGGCCGCCAUCCACCGCCAGCCAGGAGCGGGAGCCGUUCCAGGAGACCCUGGAGUCCCUGCGGGUGCUGGGCUUCACGCCCGAGGAGAUCACCUGGUGGCAGAGUAUGGUGGCUUUGCAUGGACUCCGUCUUUCAACUGAGCCUCAGGGGCUCCCGUGGUGACUUCGAGCUGCGUCUUAUCCCGAGCUUGCCCUGGCACCUCAGGAGGCGAGGAGCUGUGGUCAGCCAACAGUGGCCCCACCUUGCUUGCUCUGCUGCAUCUCACUUCCCAACCAGGGUUGUGCAGUCCCCAGCCAGCCCUGAAGGUGUCUGCAGCUGGCAUCUGGCAGCAAAUCCAGACCCUGUGGGUGGCAGGGAGGGGUUUCCAGCCUUCCUGCCACUGCCUGCUGGCUGGGGGUGCAGACAGAGCUGGGAGUUUUGCAUUUCACACACAAAAAUGUUGCAGUAAAAUUGUGAAUGUGGCCAAAGGUCACCUGAGGAGUCCCCCCAGCCCCUGCACCUGGUUCCCAUGCUUCUCCUUCCAGGUAGAUUUUGGAUGGAUGAGAACAGACAGGGACAGCCAUCCCUGGUACCCCGGAGAUCAGCUCAAGGGCCCGCUAGAAUACCAGGCGCUAUGGGUGCCCAGGUCCCUUCAAUAAAACAGCACGGUGUUUGCACGUACCUUGCGCAGUCCUCCCAGGUACUCUGAAGUACCCCUGUAUGAUUUAUAGCACCUAAUGCAACAUGAAUGGUACACAAAUUGUUGCACUGUAUUCCUUAGGGGGAGGGCAGGGGAAGGGCUGCACAUGCUCAGGACGGCCCAAUUUUUCCCUAAAAUCUUCAGUCCAAAAUUGGUUGAUGCACAGAUGCAGAACCCACAGAUACAGAGGGAUGAGAUUGUUUUCUGUGUAAAGGAAGGCCUCCAAACUGAUGUUCGGCUGUUCUGGUGAUAAAAAUGGGAAGCUAAACUGGGCGUGGUGGCGCAUGCCGAUAAUCCCAGCACUUAGGAGGCUGAGGCAGGAGGACUGCUGCAAAUUUGAGGCCAGCCUGGGCCACAUAAUAAGUUUGAGUUCAGCCUGGACUACAUAAUCUCAAAAAACUAAAAAGAAAAAAAUGAGGGGAUGCUAAACUGGAUACGAUAGCAUCCGCCUGUAUUCCCAGCACUCGGAGGGAGGCUGAGACAGGAGGAUGACAAGUUCGAGCCUAGCCUGGGCAACUUAGUGAUUUAGCAAGAACUUGUCUCAAAAUACAUUUUUGAAAAAAUAUAGAAAUGUAGCUCAGGUCCUGGGUUCAAUCCCCAGUAUUGCAAAAAAAUAAAAGGGACCUUUAUUUGAGAUAUAACUUAUGCAUCAUACCAUGCAUAUAUAUCCAUAUUUAAAGUGUAC
This is a long non-coding RNA of Heterocephalus glaber (naked mole-rat), 1770 nucleotides long. Lineage: Eukaryota; Metazoa; Chordata; Mammalia; Rodentia; Bathyergidae. The record is from Ensembl.